This 2284-nucleotide long non-coding RNA is filed under the name Homo sapiens (human). RNAcentral describes it as "HSALNT0019306". The record is from RNAcentral. Lineage: Eukaryota; Metazoa; Chordata; Mammalia; Primates; Hominidae.
UCUGUUUUGUCCUAUUUUUUAAUUAAAAUUUUUUAUUUAUUCUAAAAUAUUUUACUAAUUAGGAAUUUGAGUAACAGAAAUGAAGCCUGGUUUAGAAUGCACAAGAAUGUGAUUUAGAGCUAACACAGAUGUGCUGAUCACAAGAAGACCUCUAGAGAUCAUCCAGCCUUUCCUUUACCUUUUUAUUAUAUUCAGGUUCUCAACAGUUUGGAUAAUGUUUCACCUGUGUCAGCAGAUUUUCUUUACUCAGUCUACCAAUUCAAAUUCUAAUUUCUUCCAGAAACACCCUCACAGACACACUCAGAAAUAAUGUUUUACCAGCUAUCUGGGCAUUCCUUAGCCUAGACAAGUUGACACAUAAAAUUAACCAUUACACAUUUGUAGUUAAGGGUGGCCAUGCUAAAAAUUUUGCAAAUGUAACAUACUUGGGAGUAACCUCUUCUCCUUAUUCUUUUUCCUUCCUAAAACUCUGGAGGUACAGUAGUUGUUUUGAGACCAUGGAGACUGAAUAUACUAUAGGGAAGAAGAGCAGGACAACUAAAGGAACUGGGUACCUGAUGGCAUUAUUUAGAUACAGAAUCCAGCCUGGAUUGCACACUCCCAGGUUUUUGCUGUGUGACUAAAUAAGAAUUAACCACUACAUUAGAUUUUCUUGCAUUCACUUGAAUGCAAUCCUAGCAGCUACACUCAACAUAUCUCUAAUUUAUAUUAUCCUAUGUCUCUCACCUUUCUUCUUAUUUCUCACCUUUUCUCAUAUCCAUGAGUGGUACUCCCAUUAGUCCAGGAUCUCAAACCAGAAUUACAGAGUGAAAUUCAAUUCUUCCAUCUCCUUCAUGAUCCUGUCCUCCUAAUACCUCUUUAACAUUGCAUCAGUCCAUCUACUUCUCUUUGUCCUGCUGCCAUAUGUUAGUACAGGAUUUGCCUAGAUUAUUGUAGCAAACUUUUUUUUUUUUUUUUUUUUUUAGAUGGAGUUUUGCUCUUGUUGCCCAGGCUGGAGUGCAAUGGCAGCUAUCUCAGCUCACUGUAACCUCUGCCUCGCGGGUUCAAGCGAUUCUCCUGCCUCAGCCUCCUGAGUAGCUGGGAUUACAGGCAUGCCCCACCAUGCCUGGCUAAUUUUGUAUUUUUAGUAGAGACAGGGUUUCUCCAUGCUGGUCAGGCUGGCCUCGAACGCCCGGCCUCAGGUGAUCUGCCUGCCUCGGCCUCCCAAAGUGCUGGGAUUAUAGUGUGAGCCACCAUGCCCGGCCUGUAGCAAACAUUUAAAACUGAUCUCUGUGUAUUUAGUCUUGCUCUACUUCAGGACAUUCUCAAUACUGCAGCAAAAGUUAUUCUAAAAUGCAAAUCUCAUUUUGGCAGGGAUGCUGCUAAAUAUCCUACAGUGCACAGAACGGCCACCAACGACCAAGAAUUAUCCAGUCCAAAAUGUCAGUAAAGCUGAGGUUAAGAAAUCCUGUUCCAGAAUAUCACAUUUUUUGAAUUGUGACUCCAAAGGCAAAGAAGGAAGUGCUCCUAAUUUGAACUAAUCUAAUAGUCACAUGGAGGAUUCUGACUGGCCCAUGUGGGGCCUUGUGCUCAUGUUCUAAGGAAUCAUUGUUGCUUGAAGCAUGGACAACUCUGGCCUGACAUGGUCCCUGGCUCGUACCUGUGACAGGACACUGAGACCUCCUGCUGGGACUCUACAGGAACUCAACUGCAGACUAGGAGGCAAAGGAGCCGACGGAUGUAUUCCACACUGAACAGCAUCCUGGGAUCCAGAGGGGUAAACAAGACGUCUGGUACCAUCACUCCUGGCCCCUCAGCAUCUACUUUUCGUUGCAGGAAAAGUUUGUGUCUCCAUCACAGGGGACACAUGAAGUUCCAUCAGCUACCAAAUCAUAACAGGGUAACAUCAGUUGAGUAGCAGCUGUGCCUGAAAUGAAAACAUUAAUGAUCACUGAGUUCUCCACGUAAGGUAGCAGAGGAAAAAAGGAAAAACAAAUAACACCAACAGUAGCUGAUACUAUCCCCAAAUCUGUAGCUGGACACAGAGCAUAAUUUGGUAAGCAGAAUUCCUUUUUCUACCAUACAUCCUAUCUCUAUGUUCUCCUUUCCCUUUGCCAGCACUAUGGUUGGACAGGGAUUCUCUCCUGGUAGGAUAAUCUGAACUUUCAUUUCUCUAAGUCCUACAAUAAAUAAGCAAAUUGAUUCCAGCAUCUUCUUUUGAGCAUCUGUUUCCUGAGGUCAUUUUUGUACUAUUAAUAAAUGUAGCAGGAAAUGUAUGGCAACUCAAAUGAAGAUAAUUCAAGGA